GCCGACGUAGCUCAGCUGGCAGAGCAGUCGCCUCGUAAGCGACAGGUCCGGGGUUCGAAUCCCCGCGUCGGCUCCA
This 76-nucleotide transfer RNA is filed under the name Chloroflexota bacterium. RNAcentral's name for it is "Chloroflexi bacterium tRNA-Thr". It matches the Rfam family "tRNA". Rfam says of the family: Transfer RNA (tRNA) molecules are approximately 80 nucleotides in length. Their secondary structure includes four short double-helical elements and three loops (D, anti-codon, and T loops). Further hydrogen bonds mediate the characteristic L-shaped molecular structure. tRNAs have two regions of fundamental functional importance: the anti-codon, which is responsible for specific mRNA codon recognition, and the 3' end, to which the tRNAs corresponding amino acid is attached (by aminoacyl-tRNA synthetases). tRNAs cope with the degeneracy of the genetic code in two manners: having more than one tRNA (with a specific anti-codon) for a particular amino acid; and 'wobble' base-pairing, i.e. permitting non-standard base-pairing at the 3rd anti-codon position. Lineage: Bacteria; Bacillati; Chloroflexota. RNAcentral also lists the same sequence under 2 other names. The record is from RNAcentral.